CAUGGAUCACUGAGCUGUUGCCAAAUACUUUCUUGGCCGCUAAUAGCACUUUUUAGCCUUCUUUGUGGGGCGCGUAGCAGGUAUUUAAAAACAGCACUGGGCGAAGCACACGCGUCUUCCUCUCGCUCGCAGACGCAUUUCUCUCCUGAAAUGUCACUUUCGAAAAUCCGUUGUCACACGUUUUCUUCACAGAAUGGACUUUUUAAGACGAGAAGUGGGCAUCCUCAGUAUUGAAAUGGAUAACACUUAUGAUGUGAUGUCUUGAAUUCAGGUCAGUGCGUCUGUCAUACUGUUCACAUUCAUGCAUUAUUCACAUUCAUCCACCUACGCCAAACCAAAGACAAAAAUCUGUCUAGUCAGACGUUCACCCAGUAACUUUUGCAUAAAUGACAAGCUCAUCAAAGACAUUAAGAGAAACUAUACACGAGAAGGACCAUAUGCACAGAAACGCUGACACACAUUCAAAAGCACUGCAUGCUUGCAUGAUACACAUAGAAAGAUGUGUCCAUGUUAAUAUCAUUCUGUCAGCUAAGUGAACCUCUCAGUCACCUCUCAUUUCCUUCUCCUCAUCAUCCUUCUCGCUCUCUUUUUUUACUCUUUCACACACAAGUAGACACAUCAUCAUCAUCUUCAUCAUCUCACACAUAUCACCAUCACUGGACAUGCACACUCGUGCAUAUCCAGGAAUGGAGAGAUGCUCUUUCUGAGUGAAAGAUGGAAAGAUGACAAGUAAGAGGGGAGAACACAAGAAGCACAUUAGAUAUCGGUCUCUCCCUUUCACAUCCCAUUAGAGUUACACUCUUCCAUCUGCUCCCUCACUCUUCUUCACCUCUAACAGUCUGUCCUGCUGCACUUUACAACAGUGGCCUACCUGACUAAAUGCCAUUUCACACCACACACACACACACACACAGAGAGAGAGAUUACCUUCUGAAAUAUUUACAAAGCUGAAGGAUGGGGAAAAAAGCAGAUUGAUUGAAUAAAAGUGAUAUAUAUAUAUAUAUAUAUAUAUAUAUAUAAUACAGUGUCUGAAUUUUCAGCAGCCAUUAGUCUUCUGUGUAACAAACAUGAUCUUUCAGAAAUCAUUCUAAUAAAACUUUGUAGAAACCAUUAUACCCAUUAUAAUUUAAUUAACCCUUGCUGUAAGUUGUUGACUUUGGUAAAGCAUAAAAAUACUAUGAUAUGUUUGCAGACAUUUAAGAAAUGUGCUAAGGUAACAUAUUUGUUUAUCUGAAAAACAAUGCUGCAGUCAGUUAAUAUCUUUUGAAAAUGUGCAAUCCAUGCCAGAACGUCGGUCUCUGUUUUGGUUUGUGAAACCCGCCCAAUGCCAGAUAAGUUUACCCAGUUGUAUUUCGGCACUCGGUUGCCAGUUGGUGGAAAACACAGCGUAUUUAAUUUCAUUCAUCGUCAAGUGUGCUCGUUCAUGUUGUUGUCUUAAAUCUGGCAACCUGUCUGUGCAUCAAGUCUGAGGAAGGGGAGCCAGGUGAAAAAAACCCUCUCCAAUAUUUAGAAUUUGGACUCGUUCACCCACUUGGUGUCAGUCCUACAUACAGCACCCUUUAAUAGACAUUACUAUAUUUCUCUCUCCUUUAAGCAAAUGCAAAGCUAUUAAACACAAUUAUCAUGAGGUCAUCACAUAUUUACCUCUUUUUCUAAACAAUUUAUUUUAUUAUCGCUAAAAGUAAACGUUGCAGCAGAGGGAGAAAGUGCAUUGUUGAAAAGCCAGAGUUUUGUUUGUCCCUCUAGACUCUCCAUACACACAGAGCUUGAGGGGGACUCGCACAGAAGCUCUUCAGGGGGUUGUUAGCUGUGAGCUUAGCUACCACAAGGGCUCCAGCUCACGCAAUAAUUAUUUUCAUAGUCAGCCGGGUGAGCCGAGCUGGCCUGCGAGUUGUGCAAAUGCUUAUUUAAGCUGUGUAACUGACAUCCAUGUGGUUUUUAUCACCAUGAAGAAACGUUUGAACUGGUUAUGUUUGCAUGCGGCCCAGGCUCUGGCCUGUCUGUCAGAAACACUCAUAUGUGUUGCGUCUGUGGGAAAUUAUAUUCCAUAAUGUUCUGGAUCAGCAUGUUUUCCUUCACUGAGUCACUGUUGUACUUUAAAAGUGUUAAUAAAAGCUAAAACACAUUUGG
Long non-coding RNA from Carassius gibelio (silver crucian carp), 2130 nucleotides. RefSeq lists it as uncharacterized. NCBI's taxonomy places the organism in Eukaryota, Metazoa, Chordata, Actinopteri, Cypriniformes, Cyprinidae. The record is from RefSeq and is a predicted model, not a curated record. The transcript is spliced from 2 exons.